GAACCCGAAUGAAACGGAUAUAUCCGAUGGAUAUGGAUAUGGAUUCGGAUAUGGAUAUCAAAAAUAAAAACCCGACGGAUAUGGAUUCGGAUAUGGAUUUUGAUUGUAUCCGAUCCGAACCCGAACCUGACCCGAACCCGAAUUUAUUUUGUAUUAUAUAUAUAUAUAUAUUUGAUGUUAUAUUUGAAUUUGUAUUUUAAAAAUUUAGAUUUAAUAUAAUAUAUUUUGAAAUAUUGAAAAAAGAAAUAAUUAUUUUGGGUUCAAAUUUUCGGGUCUCGGGUCUCAGGUUUGGAGUCAGGUUUGGUUCGGGUUUUUGAAAAUCCGCCCCGAAUCCGAACCGACAU
RNAcentral lists this long non-coding RNA (344 nucleotides) under Ananas comosus (pineapple). RNAcentral describes it as "long non-coding RNA (ACOM_LNC009067)". The record is from RNAcentral. Lineage: Eukaryota; Viridiplantae; Streptophyta; Magnoliopsida; Poales; Bromeliaceae.